Non-coding RNA from Podarcis lilfordi (Lilford's wall lizard), 72 nucleotides. NCBI's taxonomy places the organism in Eukaryota, Metazoa, Chordata, Lepidosauria, Squamata, Lacertidae. The record is from the annotation of a GenBank genome assembly.
AGGGUUGUAGUUCAGUGGUAGGGCAUCUGCUUUGCACGUAGACGUUUGCAGGUUCGGUCCCUGGCAUCUCCU